This 253-nucleotide ribosomal RNA is filed under the name uncultured bacterium. RNAcentral describes it as "partial 16S ribosomal RNA". It matches the Rfam family "Bacterial small subunit ribosomal RNA", at positions 524 to 776 of the family's 1533-position model. The record is from RNAcentral.
UACGUAGGGUGCAAGCGUUGAUCGGAAUUACUGGGCGUAAAGCGUGCGCAGGCGGUUAUGUGAGACAGAGGUGAAAUGCCCGGGCUUAACCUGGGAACUGCAUUUGUGACUGCAUGGCUAGAGUUUGGCAGAGGGGGGUAGAAUUCCACGUGUAGCAGUGAAAUGCGUAGAUAUGUGGAGGAACACCGAUGGCGAAGGCAGCCCCCUGGGUCAAGACUGACGCUCAUGCACGAAAGCGUGGGGAGCAAACAGG